GGGCCAUUUUCCCCAACCUCUAACCCCAGCCAGGCUGCUGGACCUAAGGCUUCUGGACCUAAGGAAUGAAGACAGAGCAACAUGACAAUGGGGAUUCCUCAUCUCCCAGCCAACCCUUGCCAGGUCCGGCUCUGCCUCAGGCUGCGAAGGCAGCAGGGGGAUGGGCAUAGCAGCCCACUGUGCCGUAUCUGGGACCCUCCAGCUUGCUCCGGGGGCUCCGGCGCCCCACACUGGGAAGCUGUUCCCACAGGAAGCCUCCAAGUGAGUGGUGCCCUCAGAUAUAAACACGGAGCCCAGACACGUGAGCCCGGCCUAAGUGAGGAUAAAUCCCAUGACAAAUGUCCCCUCAAAAGCCCAGAACAAAGGCUGUGGUGUGUUUAUCCACCCUAAAGGCCGCACAGACAGCCUGGACCCCGGAAACAGCCAAUCACCUCGAAAUUGAUGGUGCACUCAGGACGCCUCGUUUAUGACCCGAGAUGUGAUAGAGACGCAGGCAGGCGUGACGGGGAGAGGCUGCUGCAGCCAGGUGGUCAUGGCCUCCUGCCUCCCAGAGGGCUUGGGCUCCACCCUCAGGCACGUAGCCUUUCACCCAAAGACAAAUGGGGGCAGAGCAACAGCCGCACCUGG
RNAcentral lists this long non-coding RNA (627 nucleotides) under Callithrix jacchus (white-tufted-ear marmoset). RNAcentral's name for it is "lncRNA (ENSCJAG00000073524.1)". The record is from RNAcentral. Lineage: Eukaryota; Metazoa; Chordata; Mammalia; Primates; Cebidae.